ACGACCCUCCCCUUCCUCCCGGCAUCCUCCACACUCUGACCCUGCAGCCAUGCUGCCGGGCUAAAGCGGGUUUAAUUAAUGGCGCCUGAGGCCGGCUCCUGAGGGCUCCUGAGGCAGCUUGAAACCCAGCAAAAGCUCCCUGGCUGAUAAAAGCUCAGUGGCUAAAAUGGAAAUACUGGGACCCGGACAGGCCAUCAGAGAAUUGCACACCUGGGCUGUCUUGAUCUGAUUCCUUGGAGAAUUGCUCUGUGGAUCUGAGCCUUGGCCCCGCGCCAUUGGCCCACACUGAGGAGUGCCGCAAACAACCCCGUGAGCCCCACUGCUUCCUUGCCUGGAGGAUGUGAUUGAGGAUGUGGUUUUCUGUCCUUUGUGUGGACCCAAGAAAGAAGUUUCUUUCAGACCUUGUACCAGGAAUAAUCGUGCUUCUCCUGAGCAACUGGCUUGUUUUGUUUUUGUGAACACUCUAAAUUGUGUAACUGUCUGUGUCUUUCAAAGCCAUCGAAAAUCCUUUGGGAACAAGACAGGGUAUAAAAUAAAGCUAUUCAGAGUUUAGACCAAGCUCCCUAUUUAAUGCAUUAUAUUCCUUUUGGAAAAGUCGCUUCAUUUGGCUGACUUUCUUUGCUCGUAAGUUAGAGAUAAUGAGUUCUUCCUGUGAGCAGAGUGUAAAUUAGUGUUUUUAAAGCACUCAGAGUUCCCUCAAUGCAAGUUAUUAUGGAAACUAACACUAAUAUUUAAUUUAUUUAAAUCUCUGCUAUUUUGUAAUUCCCUCUCUUUUUAUGUCAUUCCUGAACUUUGCUUGCUCAUUCAUUUACUUGGCACGUUUGAGGAUGUAACAGUGCACCAAACACCCUGGAAGGAUACAGAUUAAAAAGUCUGGAUUGUGCUUUCCAGUAGCAUGAAGAGUUGACGGUGUGUUUUCCACUAAAUUAGAGAUUUAAAUAACAAGAAAACAAUAAAUGAAUAAGUCAAUAAAUAUCUUAAUUAUAAAAUUCUGUGGUUUCAGUGAAGAAAAGAAAUAGGGAACAGUGGGAAAGGAUGACAGUUCUAGAGGUGGAGAUGGAAGGUGCCUGUAAGAAGGCAACUUUCAAGCAAAGCCCUGGAGAAUAAAAAGGAACAACUGUGCUAAGAGCUCAGGAAAUAAGUCUUAAGGCAUGAGACGGUUUGGCAGGGUGAUGGAUCUGAAAACAGACAGUGGCAUCACAGUAAGCAAGGAC
RNAcentral lists this long non-coding RNA (1214 nucleotides) under Equus asinus (donkey). RNAcentral describes it as "lncRNA (ENSEASG00005030139.1)". The record is from RNAcentral. Lineage: Eukaryota; Metazoa; Chordata; Mammalia; Perissodactyla; Equidae.